Molecule: long non-coding RNA, 214 nt
Organism: Bufo bufo (common toad)
Lineage: Eukaryota; Metazoa; Chordata; Amphibia; Anura; Bufonidae
Exons: 3
Source: RefSeq, a predicted model, not a curated record
UGGAGGUUGUCUGGAAAGAGACUUUUCCCGCGGCUUCUCUGAUUAACACUUUCCGCAGCGGCCGCCACCGUCCCCGACUCCUCCCCCCACAGACAUCUGAUCUCCGAAUCGGAGCACAGGAGCAAGCCAGCCGCGGGAAAAGCCUCUCCAGAGUCCAGACACCCUCCUCACACAGAUUUUGCCUGCCAGGAGUUUCCAAAGAUUUCUGGCAACA